Molecule: long non-coding RNA, 4092 nt
Filed under: Marmota monax (woodchuck)
Lineage: Eukaryota; Metazoa; Chordata; Mammalia; Rodentia; Sciuridae
Source: RNAcentral
AAAAGCCCCCAAGGUCAUAAAGCUAUUAGGUGGCUCAUAACAAAAAAAGCAAGGUCUGUACAGUUACAAAGCCACAACUCUUUCCUAUAGUUAUAUAAAGAAAAUUCCUUGAUUCUAAGUUAUUGGAAUUGCUGAGACCACAAAGAUGUACCUGCCACUUCCUGGCCACUUCCUGCUGUUGCUGCUCCUCCUACUGAUGAAAGUCUUGUUCACAACAUGUAGUUCUUGGCAAAAGGUGGGCUAAAUUGCAACUAUCCAAAUUCUGAAAAUGUUUGCUGUUUUUGAGUCUUCCCAUGGGUUUGGCCCUUUCUAUAUUUUGGAAUCAAGGGCACUUCUUGUGAGGUUGCAUGAAGUCAUAUGAGGGUAACAUAUCCAGCAAUGUAUUUUAAUGGGGUGUUAUCCAAAGUAAGAAAUAACAUUUUUUUGUUGUGAUUUAUGUGACUGAAACCUGUCACAGGGCACUCAGAAUUUUCUGUUGUACAUAUUUUUUUAACUCCUAAACUGAUAUCAGGAGUAUACAUGGGAGAGUCCAAGUUCAGAGAGCGGGGAGGUUUGGAAUUUAUUACCCCACUGUCUCUGAUUUGAUACUCUAGGAUACAGAUAGCUCCUGUCCAACCUUCCUCUGGAAUCCAACUCCCUCCCAUUUUUAAGCCACUAUCAGUUCCCCAGGUGCUUUUUUAGUCCCCUAUGCCUUGCCCCUAUGCUGAAAAUAUCUUUUUUUUCCUCAGUUAAACUUUUAGAGAGUACAUUGAUUUCUUCUGGAACUGUAAUCCUUCCUGAUUUUCCCAUCCAGAAGCUAAAGAUGAUACACCUAUCUUGUAAGACUGCUAUUCAUUACAUAAAAUGAAGACAAACCAAAAUGUUUAUAGUACAGUAAGACAUAUCUACUCUUUGAAUCUUUAUCAAGCCCAGUACACAGGAUUCACAGAGAACAUAGGGGUGCAUCAUUUAACUUCAGUCUAGGUUGAGCAUGAAGAGCUGGCUCCUAUUUUCUGUCCACUGAGCCUGGUGUUAAAUUCGAAUAAUCCUGGCAACAUUAGGCAAUGCCAGCCCAGAAUCCCUUCUCUUAAGCUUUAUCAUUCCAGGAAGUCCUAAAUGAGAAGGAGGAAGGGCACUUUCCUAAUCCCUAUGACGCCCUCUUGCUUCAGAAAAGGUAUAUGGCCUCCUCACCUUUGUUUUCCCUCCUUAAAAUGUUGAUUCAUCACUGUGGUCCCCUUCUUUGAGGAAGCCGAAAUAAGGAAGAACACAGAGGCAGCCUUGUAGUAGUCCUACAUUGGAAAUUAGUGUGAAUUGGUGUCUAAUAUCACAAUAGAGAGACCAUUAAUGUACACAAGUAUUACCUAUUAAAAUUUUUAAAGAAGUUGGGAGAGGCUGGGGUUGUAGCUUAGUUGCACUGGCAGAGCACUUGCCUAGUGUGUGUGAGGCACUGGGUUCAAUCCUGAGCACCACAUAAAAAUGAAAUAAAUAAAGGCAUGCUGUCCAUCUACAACUACAAAAAAAAAUUGAAAAGAAGUUGGAGUGUUGGUAGAAAAAUCAAUUUCUUAUUUCUCUUAGCAAAGUCUCUAAAGCACAGCUCAGCUUCUGCAAUUUGAGUAUAUAUAUUGCUCCCCCCCUCCAAAAAAGAUGCUUCCAAAUGUAAAUAGACCAUCGGUUUUGUUCACAAGUAAUUACUAAAUGCUAGUUACACGUAGGCCCUGUUCUUUGUCCUGCAUAGAAAAUAAAGCAUACGGCAUUUGUUGCAGAUGGGAUGGAGAGGGUAUGAAACAUGCUGCAGUUGGGAUGUUGCACUUCCAAACUUCAAUAAUAAAAAUAUGCAGCCAAGAUAUGGAGUCAACUAAGUGUCCAUUAACAGAUGAAUAAUGAAGAUGUGGUAAAUAUACACAAUCUAAUAUUAUUCAUCCAUGAAAGAAGGAUGCCAGUUAUGGUAAAUUAACAUGAAUGAACUUGGAGGACAAUGAGUGAAAUAAGCCAGGCAUAAAAAGACAAACAUCACAUGACCCCACCCAUAGAUAAAAUCUAAAACAGCCAAUCUCAUAGAAUUACAAAGUAGAAUAGUGGUUACCAGAGUCUGGGAAAGAUUGGAGAGGCCAAGACAGAUGGGGAGAGAUUGAUCAAUGGGUACAAAAUUACAGUUUGAUAAGAGAAAUAAGUUCCAAUGUUUUAUCGCAUAGUAAGCUAUAAUUAAAAUAUAAUGCAUAUUUUAAAAUACUAGAGAGCAUUAUGCAUGUUCUCACCACAAAGAAAUGAUGUUUGAAGUGAUAGAUAAGUUAAUUACCCUGAUUUGUUCAUUACACAAUGUAUACAUGUAUGAAAACAUCACACUAUACCCCAUAAAUAUGUAUAAUUAUUAUAUGUUCAUUAAAAGAAAACCCUAAUCUGCUUUCAGAUUUUAAAAAAAAUAAAUACAAGUGCAGAAAUAAAUGCCUUGGACAUUCCUUCUCAAGAAACCAAGUAAUCAGUCAUUAGUAAACUGGGCAUGAAUAGCCCAGGAAGCAUCUCUUGAAGUUACGCAAUAAUUAUUCCUACUUUGUCUCUGAAAGUUUAGCGUAUUCAGCUAGUUAAUAUUUCCUUGGUGAAUAGUGACCCCUGUCCUCAGGAAGGCUAUCAAGAGUAUCAAGUAGGUGGUAUGGCAGAGCAAAAAAAUAUCCAACUGGGAACAGAUUUGAGUUUUGAGUCUCCAUUUUCAUAAGAGUCAAGUGCCUUAACUCUUAAUUUGUUUCCUUAAUUUGUUACCUGUAAAAUGGGGAUGACUUCAACUAAUUCAAGGAGAUAAGACUUGUGAAAUAUGUUGUAUACUAAAAUAUAAGAUUAUAAAAAUUUCAGAGAACCUAGUACAAAUUGUAAGCAUUUAUGUUAUAAACAGCUGAAAGUUAUAAAUCAAAGACUUACUGUACUUUUUGUGAUGUGAAAAUAAAAGCGGUAUCACAAGACUGGGAUCCCAAUUACAAUAAGAUAUAUUCUGUGUUUGCAGAAAUAUGUCAAAAUAUACUCUACUGUUAUGUAUACCUAAAAAGAACCAAAAAGGUGUUGCUUUUCCUGUUUUUAAAAAUACUACAUAGUUUAACUUUUUAAAAUUUUUACUCUUUUAGUUAUACAUGAUAGUAGGAUCCAUUUUGAUACACAAGCUUGGAAUAUAUCUUAUUCUACUUAGGAUCCCAGUUUUGUGGAUAUACAUGGUGGUGAGAUUGUGGUAUAUUUAUAUAUGUACUCAUUUAAUUUUUUUAAAGUUAUGUUCUUGGUGUAAAAAUUCUGUAAAGAAAGUAAAGUCUUUAGCAGUCUCUCCUCCACCACCCUGCUUACCACCUCAGGUUUGCUAAUUAUCCUUUCAGAGUUUCUAUUGCAUAUUUAAAAUAUUUCACACAACAGGAUCUUUUUAUCCAUAAAUGCCUUAUGACCUGCAUUAAAAAAAAAAAACUUAACCAUAUACUGUGGACAAUUUUCUAGAUUUAUAUCAUUCUCAUCAUUUUUUAAGACUGACGUCAGUGAUUUUCAAUCCUGCUUGAAUAAUAAAUUAACUUGGGAGAUUUAAAAAAAAACAAAACAACAAAAAUAAAGUCAAUUCUCCAAAAAAACCUAUGACUAGCAUUCAUAGAGAGAAGGCAAAGAAAAUUUUACUCUUUUUAAUCUCCUGGGGGGAUGUUCAACCUGGAGAGGACCCAUGUGUCUUAAGCUGUACUUUGUAUUUUGUGAUCUAAUCAAUGCUAUUUUCAUGAAUAUUUGGGUUACAAGGUAUUUUAGUCAAUACUCGUGUACUUAAAACUUGGUUUGGUCAGGCCUUAACAUUUUGUCAUAUUUGAUUCAUUCUUUUUUAAAGAAGAAAUGUUACAAACUUAGGCCCUCACUUUCCCUGCUUUGCUGGUCCCUUCAUUUCCCACUUCCCGUGAGCAUUAUUCUCAAUUUGGUAUUUCCUUUAUAUAGAUAUUAAGGGUAUUUCAUAUUAAUAUAUUGUAUUACCUUUAGGGACAUAACCUGUAAGUAAUGAAUUUCCUUAAUACAUCUGAAUUGUGCAUUUAAAAAUGGGUAAGAUGGUCAAUUUGGGGAGCGAGUACCACGGAUCAAACCCAGGGCACUUAACCACUGAGCCACAUCCCC